UCUAGCCAGACGCCGAGCAGCACUGCCGAGGAAGGGGCAAGCGGAGGGAAAUGGGCCCACAAAGAGGCUGAGAAGGAGCAGCCCAGAGAGGCAGGAAGGAAGCAAUGCCGCCUCUUCCAGGAAGGCCUCCUGACCAGCCCCUCUUACCAAAAGACAAGGGCAGGUCCUGGCUAAAGAACUCACACGUGCUCCCCAUGACGUAAAUUCUGGGAGACUCAUCAGUUUCACGAGGUGAUUAAAGUGAAGAUAAAGGGGUACCAGACAAAGAGACAAGUCAUCAUCUAUGGAGAGAGUGGGUGUUUUGCGGUUGCCCAGUGAUAUUGACUGAAGCGGAUGUUACGUAAGAUUGUUUGCAUCCUGCGGCGGACCGUCCUGACGUGGUGGUGAGCAUCACAUCCGUUCCGUGUAUCCUCUCCCACCAGGUGUGGCCUGCCUCUCCCGCUGCCUCCCUCCCCCUGCAGCAGGGUCCUGCGUGGGAUGCAGGGUCCGCCCGUCCAGGAACGCCUGCAGCAGAUCUUGACAUGAGGGGAAAAUAACUUGGAUCACGCCAGACUCUGCAGUGGGCGUUUACCUAUCACGGUACCACCUGAAGUCACCCCCCGUCUGUGCUGUACUCGCUCAGCCCUUGUCCUACCGUGACCCUCCUGGCCCCUUCUCUUCUUCAGGAUACACGCGCCCCAUCCCCCGGGGCCUUCUCCCCCUCCGGCAGUCCUCUGGGGUGUUCUCAGUGGCAGGCAAACCUGCUUCUGCUGUGCGUGCUGGGUGUGCCAGCAGGGGAGGUUCCCGCCAGCUGCCCAGCUUCACCUCCCCACACCCCAGCCCCGUAGCCCCAAAUUCGGGGGAUCCUGUCCUGUUCCACCAUGCUCCAGCUCUGUCCCAUGGAGGUUCUGAGAUGUCUUAAAAUAAUAGACUUCAUUAUUAUUCAGGCACGGUGAGGUCAAAGGAUCGGAAGGCUACUGUCUCAACAAGAUGGUUUGCCAUGCUCACGGGUUCCAAGGGCAGGGGGCACCGUCUCCUCCUGGCUUGCAGUUGACUGCCCUUCUAGCUGUGUCCUCACGAGGGAGACAGAGUCAGAGACAGAGACACAGGGUGGGGGGCACUCUGGCGUGCUUUCCUCUUCCUACCAGGUCACUAAUCCCCACGUGAGGGCUCCACCCUCACGACUUAAUCACCUCCCAAAGGCCCCACCUCCUAAUACAAUGGUACAUUGGGAGUCAGGGCUUCAGCAUGUGAUCUGGGGGUUGAGGGGUGGGAGCACAUUCAGUCCACAGCACCCUACAAGAAAGGAACGCCCGCUCUCUUCUGCAAAGUACGUUUGCAAGAACCCCACCCUCUUAUGAGUCCCUUACCUCAAGACGGGUGAUGGGGUAAUUGUGCCACUCUAACUGU
Orcinus orca (killer whale) is the source of this 1389-nucleotide long non-coding RNA. RefSeq lists it as uncharacterized. NCBI's taxonomy places the organism in Eukaryota, Metazoa, Chordata, Mammalia, Artiodactyla, Delphinidae. The record is from RefSeq and is a predicted model, not a curated record. The transcript is spliced from 3 exons.